RNAcentral lists this ribosomal RNA (265 nucleotides) under uncultured bacterium. RNAcentral describes it as "partial 16S ribosomal RNA". It matches the Rfam family "Bacterial small subunit ribosomal RNA", at positions 92 to 354 of the family's 1533-position model. The record is from RNAcentral.
CGACCGGCGCACGGGUGAGUAACGCGUAUGCAACCUGCCCGUUUCAGCGGGAUAACCCGGAGAAAUCCGGCCUAAUACCGCAUGUGGCCGAGGGGAGGCAUCUUCUUUCGGCCAAAGGAGGCGACUCCGGAGACGGAUGGGCAUGCGUGACAUUAGCUAGUUGGCGGGGUAACGGCCCACCAAGGCGACGAUGUCUAGGGGUUCUGAGAGGAAGGUCCCCACAUUGGAACUGAGACACGGUCCAAACUCCUACGGGAGGCAGCAG